RNAcentral lists this long non-coding RNA (11147 nucleotides) under Triticum aestivum (bread wheat). Its description in RNAcentral is "long non-coding RNA (TAES_LNC028058)". The record is from RNAcentral. Lineage: Eukaryota; Viridiplantae; Streptophyta; Magnoliopsida; Poales; Poaceae.
CCCACAUGUCGAAGCACGAUUUAGAGGCAUAACCGCAUUGAAAGCAAUGUCGCAAGUGAGGUAAUCUUCACACAACCCAAGUAAUACAUAAGGGGAAAGAGAUACAUAGUUGGCUUACAAUCGCCACUUCACACAAUUACAUGAAUAAAGCAUUACAUCAUCCAGAUACAAUCAAGGUCCGACUACGGAACCCAAAAUAAAAGAAGAACCCCAAAUGCGACAAAGGUCCCCGAUCGACCCCAACUGGGCUCCACUACUGAUCAACUAGAACGAAACAACACAAAGGGCAAGAUCUUCAUCGAGCUCCUCCUUGAGCUUGGUUGCGUCACCUGCUCGGUAACAUAGGCACCUGCAAACUGGUUUGGAAGUAUCUGGUGAGCCACGAGGACUCAGCAAUCUCGCACCCGCGAGAUCAAGACUAUUUAAGCUUAUGGGUAAGGUAAAGGCAUGAGGUGGAGCUGCAGCAAGCGACUAGCAUAUAUGGUGGCUAACAUACGCAAAUGAGAGCGAGAAGAGAAGGCAAAGCACGGUCGAUAAAGGUAUGAUCAAGAAGUGAUCCUAUAGCAACCUAUGUCAAGCAUAACUCCAACACCGUGUUCACUUCCCGGACUCCGCCGGAAAGAGACCAUCACGGUUACACACACGGUUGAUGUAUUUAAUUCGGAUCUGGUGUCAAGUUAUCUACAAUCGGACAUUAACAAAUUCCCAUCUGCCACAUAACCGCGGGCACGGCUCUCGAAAGUUUAUACCCUGCAGGGGUGUCCCAACUUAGCCCAUGACAAGCUCUCGCGAUCAUCGAAGGAAUAGACCUUCACCCGAGACACUCCGAUCAGACUCGGUAUCCCGGUACAUCAAGACAUUUCGACAAUGGUAAAACAAGACCAGCAAGACCUCCCGGCGUGCCGACAUCCUGAUAGUAGCCGCGCGUAUCUCGUCUCAGGCCACGACCGGAUGAACACUACGUACGGCAACCGACGAUACCCCAAGUUGCCUAGGGGCGGCACCACAAGUGGCUCUGGUUUGGACCAACACUUAGACAAGCAUUGGCCCGGGGGGGCUAAAAUAAAGAUGACCCUUGGGUUAAUUACUCCCAAGGGAAAAGUAGGUGGUGGUGAGGCAAAUGGUAAAAGUCAAUGUUGGGCCUUGCUGGACAAGUUUUAUUCAAAGCGAACUGUCAGGGGGGUCCCAUAAAUCACCCGACCGCGUAAGGAACGCAAAAUCCGAGAACAUAACACCGGUAUGACGGAAACUAGGGCGGCAAGAGUGGAACAAAACACCAGGCAUAAGGCCGAGCCUUCCACCCUUUACCAAGUAUAUAGAUGCAUUAAUAAUAUAAGAGAUAUUGUGAUAUCCCAACCAAAAUCCUGUCCACCAUGGAGAAAUCUUCAACUUCACCUGCAACUAGCAACACUAUAAGAGGGGCUGAGCAAAGUGGUAACAUAGCCAAACAACGGUUUGCUAGGAAUGGUGUCAAAGGUUAGAGGUUCAUGGCAAUAUGGGAUGGCUGACAAGCAAAUGAUAGGCAUCGUAGCAUUGGCAUAGCAAAAGAGCGAGCAAACUAGCAUAGCAAAGAUAGUAGUGAUUUCGAGGGUAUGGUCAUCUUGCCUGAAAUCCCGCAAGGAAGAAGAACGAGUCCAUGAAGAAGACAAACGGACAUCGAACGAAUCCUCACAACUCUGGAACGAAACCGAAGCUAACGAGAGAAGCAAACCGGAAAGAAACAAACAACAUGGUAAACACACAAGCAUAAACAUGUCAUGAUGCGCAAACAAAUAUGAUGCAUGUCCGGUUUAAUGAAGCAUGACAUGGCAAUAUGCACAAACAACACUACAAAUUAAGUGGAGCUCAAUAUGCAACGAGUUGCAUAUUGACGACACACCACAUCAAUUAUUUAGUUCCCUCUAGUUAUAAGCUACUCAACAACAUUAAAUAUUGGUUAACAUGGCAAGUGAUGAAGCAUAACAAAAACUAUACCAUCUAAACAAUUUUAAAUGGGGCCGGAUAUAAAAACAACAAAUCCGGUAAAUCCCCAUAUGCAUUUAGCAAUUUAAUGCAACAACAAGUUUAAUCAUUUUAAAUGUUGUUAUCAUGAUGGGGAUGACAUAAUCAAGGUUUAUGCAAUUUUUAUGAAAAUAUUGACAUGAGCAUGAAACGAGGCAUUAGUCGCCAUGGUGGAAGGAAAAAGGUGCCACGGCGGUGAAACGGAAAUGGUGCCAUGGCAACAUAUCCGAAAAUGAUGCCACGGCAACAUAUCCGAAAAUGAUGCCACGGCAACAUAUCCGAAAAUGAUGCCACGGCAACAUAUAGGUUAUCCGACAACUCAAGGAGAUAUCGGUGCAAAAGGAAGGCGUGCGGAUGCGUGCACGGAUGGUGGGGUGAUCCCGGAUUCCGGGUGUCCCACAUAAUGGUGGCAUGGAAACGAGUGACAAUUCGAACACGGUGCAACGGUGCAUCUCAUUCAACACAUGCAUUCGGGCCACGGCGGUCGUCUCGGGGUUAUACCUUUGAAGAGUGCGUUUUCGGAGCGGAACGAGUUCGAUGCGGUGUAGGUGGAAGUAGUGGUACACGGCGUCGGUAGAGGAAGUAGUCGUUCUCGGGUCGUCGUGGGAAGUAGUCGAACACGGCGUAGUGGAAGUCGUUGUUCACGUGGCGACGGUAGUUGUACACGGUCCAGGAGACGUCGAUCGUUCAGGGUCCGACUUGCGAGUCUUGUCGACAUGAGUGGUACUUGGCGAUGUUUCGAUGAAGCUCAAAUGAAGCACCCGCAACUAGAGGCAACUAGUGCCCCGGUGCCCUGGACGAUGGUCGAUGCACUAGGUUUUUGACGGACCCAUAGCAACGGUAGACGUACACGCAUACUUGGUGCAUCACUGGUCUUGGCAAUCUUGAAGAACUGAAAGGGCAUCGAGGGUCUUGCAAGGCUCUGCCUCGGGAGGUCACCGGGGACCGCUCGAGCUGCUGGAUGCUGGCGCAUGGCCGAGCAGCGGUUGGAAGAAGUGGGCGGCGUUAGCCUUGGCGCGCAGCAGGGAAGGCGGCUCCUGCUCGGAGAGGUACGGCGAGAGAAACCGCUUGUAGGCGCGAAGGAAGGCGGAGGAGCUUGGGCGCGGGACGGCGUCCUGGUGGCAUCGGCGCUCCUGCAGGCGUGGAGGACGACGACUGCAGGCGCGGAGCAGGGGAGCAGUAGAGGGACUAGGCGCGGGGAUGAACGGAUCCGGCUGAAGGCAUGGCCGACGGCGCGACUUGGAGCAGAUCGGGCGCGGGCGCUUGGGGCGCGGCGUAGCUAGAUGGCGCGGGCGACAGAGGAGGAGGCCACAGGUGGAGCCACUGGAGUUGGACAAGGAGGAGGCGGGAUGGCGCGGCAGCGGCCUGGUUCUGCGGGGGCUGGCGGCGGAUGCAGGCCACGAGGAGGAGGCGAAAGGGACGAUGAGGAGAAGCAGGAGGAGAUGGGAUCGAGAGAGAGGUCGGGCAGCGGUUCCCUGGCGGCGCUGGGUGGAAGGGAACGAGAGGGAGAGGGGGUGGAUCGGGACGAAGGGGUGGCGGCGCUGCACGGGGGGAGAUGGGGAUCGAUGGGAGAUGAGGGUCGGGCUAGCUAGGGUUUAGGUAGGCUGCGGGUCCAGAUGGGCCUGGGAGGUCCAAGAGGCCCAGGCUGUUGGGCUGCAGGGCUCUUUCCUUUAAGCAAUUUCUUCAAACAGAAAUGCAAGAAAAGGCCAAGGAGUUUGGCAAGGAAUUAGGAUGAGAUAAAAACAUAUGUGGGAUUCUGGAUUUAUGUAGAAUUUGAAUAAAUUGCUUUGGGAAUUUUUAGAGGUAUAAAAAUAAAACAAGUUUGAAUUAAAUUCAAACUUGAGCCAUUUUUGAACCCAACCAAAACAACUCCAAAAUGGAUGAUAUUUGACAGAGAGGUAUAAGGCAUGAAGUAAGAUCACCAGGAAAUAAAUGAACAUUAAUGGAGGCACAAAUAAUGCCACUUGGCAUGAAAGUCAAGAUUUGACAGAAAGGAAGAAGUGAUAAGGUUUGCACGUGGAGAAAGGUCUUGAUGAAAAGAUGAAGAUACAAAUGACCAUAGGAGGAGGGGAAGGGUGAUGCAAGGGGUGAUCAUGCAUGAAACACACAAUGCACAUGAUGAGCAUGAUGAAAUGCAACAUGAUGCAAGGAUGAAUGCAACGGACAAAACAAAUCACACGACAAAUCUCGGAAUAGCUGGACGUCUUCUGGAGCGUCGGUCUCGGGGCGUCACAACACUCCACCACUACAAGAGGAUCUCGUCCCGAGAUCUAGGAUGGCACCGGAGGGAAAACGGAAGAGGAAGAGAAGAGGUAAAACUAAGUUGCUUCUUUGACGAACGAGUGAAACCACGAACCUUGAGGGGUCGAACAAAAUGAAAGAAAGAAAACAAUGAAGAUGAACAAAGUUGAAAGCACUCUGUUAGAAGAGGAACAUGGGAUACGACGAGAACCAAGAGGUUUAGUGAUAAGAUAGAUAUUGAAACCACUCCGGUUAAAACUAGAUAGAGAAGGAGUAAGAAUGAUAUAAUUUGGGCAGCACUCCGACUGUAAAUGGAAGGAAUUGAACAUGAACUUGACAAGAUGAGAGGAUACUUGAUGAAAUCAACAACACACUGCAUCCGGAAUUAUUGAAAGAAUGGCAUAAAGGGUAAGAAGGAUUUCAGACAGCACUCUGGUUGAAAAGAGAGGCAAAACUUGAUAAAAUGAAAGAACUUGAAUGAGAACACAACACUCCGGUUGAAAGGAAAAGCAAGGAAAGAGCAUGAUCUUCACAAUUCGAGAUGAUGAGUGAAAAGAGCAACAUCACAAUUCCUCCGGAAGAAAGAAUAGAAGAUAGAUCAUUGGAAUAACAGAAUGGAGAAGAAAAUGCCAACUUCUACCACCAUUGAAUUUGGAAAACAUCUUUGCAAAGAAGAAUCGAACGGAGUUGUUGGAAAAUCAACAACAAAAAGAAUAAGCUUGUAGUGGGCUUAUGGCAAACAUCUCAAAAUGAUGAGGUGACAACCGGCCACUAAUGGAAACAAUUGAUUGGUUGAGAUCAAUGAAGAUAAGAGAAACUUCUUCCACCAAGUGAAUAGAGAGCAAGCUUGGGUCAUGCAUAAUCACCACAAAUAGCAACAACCCUUAAGGAAAGGAUUUAGGUGAAAUAUGACACAAAAUAACUCCAAUGAAGAGACUGAUGGAUUUAAAAUACCUCAUUCUUGACAACAAUAUGAAUCAUGAAACAUGAAGGAAAUUGUCAAGAAUGACAUAAGACCACGUCGAAAGAUAAGGUAGAAAGAAUUGCACUUCGAAAUGCAAGAAGAAGAAUACUUGAGCUCCUCAAAACAAAACAUGUGUUGAGCACCAUGCUUAAUUUUGAGUAUAGCUUGGCGGAUCAUAACUGCGAGAGAAAUCUUGAAGAACAAUUGAAGAAUGAAAAGAAUCCUUGAUGAACCACCAUUUAGAGCCUCCACGAAGAACUCCGGUAAUAGAAGGAUGAUAAAAAGAAAGAGAAGUUGAAAACACAAUGUGAAACCUUGCAGUGAUAAGAUGAAGCUUUGAAAUGAUAUAACCGAGAAAAAACUUGGAACCCGGAAAUAAAGAUGCACAACUGAAAUCAAGAAUUUUUGAUGGACCUCCGGAAUAAGGAAUUGAAUUUACUCGAUGAAACAAGAAUAAGAAUUACAUUAUGCUCAUCCUUCACCAAUUAAAUUGAUGACAAGCAAUGGAUUUGGCAUACUACUUAUUCUCGUAGAAAGGAUUAAGAGAGAUAUGGCGUAAACUUGGGAAGGUCUUCAACGAACCACCGGUAGGAUUUGGAAACAACGAAUGAAUAGAUGCGGUAGCAAAGGAAGAGGGAUCUCGAACGAACCACCAUAAGAAUUGAAAAUGAAAGUAACAAAGGCACAAUUCAUCGGGAAUAAUUGGAAAAUGAAUGAAGAUACUUGAGGGGGUUUAAAUACAUGAGAACGAAGAGAACAUGAACUGAUUAGAGGAUAUUUUAACGAUUCAUUGAUAAGAUUUGGAGAACGAUAGCUACACGUUGAGAAUGAAGAAUUAUGACAUGAUGGCCUUCGGAGGAAAGAAAUGGAAACAACUCAUGAAAUGCUCCAGAUGGUAAGAAAAUAAUUUUCACAAUCAAAACAAUUAUGAGGAUAGCAUGAAGCUAGAACCAUGAAUCUUCAAGAGAACGGACCAAGAUUUAAGAGAUAAACUCUCCUUCGGUCUUCAAAAGACGAUGAGGAACGCCACCAAAAUUUAUUGAGAUACUCCGGUAGAAUGGAAAAAACAAAGAAGUUGAGACCACAAAGAAAAAUUAUUUGAAAUCGAUCUUGGAAAGGCAUGUGACUGAUGAAAAUUCAUUCUUACGUCACACUCUGAAAAGAUUGAGAAUAACUCCGGAAGAAUUAGAAGAGUCAGGUAAGAUCCUGGGAAAAGACCUGUGGGUUAGGGCCCACUCAAAAGAAAACACCGUUGAACAAUUGAUUGAAAGAGGGGAUUGCACCGGUUGAAUUAAAUGACUUGAAUGAGAUAAGAACCUCGAAAUAUCUUGAAGGGAUUGAGAAUGGAAACACAAGUCUUCGGAGAUAUCUUGAGCACUUCAGGAAAAAAUGAAUAGCGAUAAGUGAGCGAUUGAGAGGUGCGCCGGCAUGGGAAAGCAUUUGAAACGAGGAAAGGAAUAUGAUGAAUAUUGAAAGCUUGAAUUGUUUCCACCGGAGAAGAAACAACAAUGAAGGAUGAUGAACUUGAAGCUCGUGAGCAUCUUCACGAGGGAUCACCGGAUCAGAACAUUGAUUGAAAAGAAUGAAGAGACUUCACAUGAAUAAAUGGAUACUUGAUUAAGAAAUCUGUGUCCUUGAAGAAAAAGGGUGGGAGGGCGGGAAAACAAAGGCAACUUGGGACGAACGAAACAAACACCGUUGAAAAAACUUAGAAUUGAUCUUGCGGAUGGGGAAAAUGAUGGGAUCAUCUCGAAGAGAAGCGCACCGGUUGGAAAAGAAUUAACAUGACAACCUCAAUGAUCAAAAAGGAUUAGUAUUCACAUAGCAAUAUGAGAACACCGUUUAGGAAAGGUAUGGAUUCAAUAUUUGACAUUGAAGCAACUCGAGUACCACAACUCAAAACAAAACAAAGGAUUUGGCUUGCAGAAUAAGCCGGAACAAACAUAUGAUAGAGAUUUACCCAAUCCCAUAUCAUGCAUCUGUCGGAAAGAUAUUCUAGGAGCUACUUGAAUUCCCACCUAUAAACUCCCGAAACUUUCUGGUUAUGCAAUCUGGUGUUGGGGAUACAGGGGAAGCAAUAUAUCUCACCCAAACUAACAAUACCUACAUCCAAGCUGUAUCCAUCCGUCAACACAUAACCAAGAAACCUUCGGAAAUCGUGUACCUCAACCUUCGAAAAGCAUCCGUUAUACGAGUCAUGGCAAUACUCCCGUACUCACCUCAGUACUGGGUUAGCGGGGUUAUCUCACCAACAACUGCAUAAAAGAGAUUUUCGAUGUCGGCGUACUAAACUCAGGUAUUCCAGAACUGCAACGAUAAAAUUAUGACGACAACACCUCAGAGCUCAACUCCCCGGGACACCUCCACUAAAAAAACCCUGCUGACGGGAGGCACCAAGACAAUGUUGUCAUCAUAAACCAUCGGAACGAUUCUAAGAUACCCGCGUGAUCCUAAAAUUUUUUUUAGUGAAAUUUGAGAAGAGAAGAGUCAAAACUCUACGUCAGGAGACCUCACCAGAGCGACGAAGGGACUGAGGAGUAAAAAGAAUUCCUAACUCUCCGAUAUAUAUAAUCCUAAAUGACUCAAAACAUUUUUCUAGACACAACUCGGCCGCUAAAAACGAUCAAGCAGUGGGGCUCCUAAGGUCGGGGAUGGCUCUGAUUACCAACUUAUAACGCCCUCGAUGCGGCUAUAUCUCCCACGUGUCGAAGCACGACUUAGAGGCAUAACCGCAUUGAAAGCAAUGUCGCAAGUGAGGUAAUCUUCACACAACCCAAGUAAUACAUAAGGGGAAAGAGAUACAUAGUUGGCUUACAAUCGUCACUUCACACAAUUACAUGAAUAAAGCAUUACAUCAUCCAGAUACAAUCAAGGUCCGACUACGGAACCCAAAAUAAAAGAAGAACCCCAAAUGCGACAAAGGUCCCCGAUCGACCCCAACUGGGCUCCACUACUGAUCAACUAGAACGAAACAACACAAAGGGCAAGAUCUUCAUCGAGCUCCUCCUUGAGCUUGGUUGCGUCACCUGCUCGGUAACAUAGGCACCUGCAAACUGGUUUGGAAGUAUCUGGUGAGCCACGAGGACUCAGCAAUCUCGCACCCGCGAGAUCAAGACUAUUUAAGCUUAUGGGUAAGGUAAAGGCAUGAGGUGGAGCUGCAGCAAGCGACUAGCAUAUAUGGUGGCUAACAUACGCAAAUGAGAGCGAGAAGAGAAGGCAAAGCACGGUCGAUAAAGGUAUGAUCAAGAAGUGAUCCUAUAGCAACCUAUGUCAAGCAUAACUCCAACACCGUGUUCACUUCCCGGACUCCGCCGGAAAGAGACCAUCACGGUUACACACACGGUUGAUGUAUUUAAUUCGGAUCUGGUGUCAAGUUAUCUACAAUCGGACAUUAACAAAUUCCCAUCUGCCACAUAACCGCGGGCACGGCUCUCGAAAGUUUAUACCCUGCAGGAGUGUCCCAACUUAGCCCAUGACAAGCUCUCGCGAUCAUCGAAGGAAUAGACCUUCACCCGAACACUCCGAUCAGACUCGGUAUCCCGGUACAUCAAGACAUUUCGACAAUGGUAAAACAAGACCAGCAAGACCUCCCGGCGUGCCGACAUCCUGAUAGUAGCCGCGCGUAUCUCGUCUCAGGCCACGACCGGAUGAACACUACGUACGGCAACCGACGAUACCCCAAGUUGCCUAGGGGCGGCACCGCAAGUGGCUCUGGUUUGGACCAACACUUAGACAAGCAUUGGCCCGGGGGGGCUAAAAUAAAGAUGACCCUUGGGUUAAUUACUCCCAAGGGAAAAGUAGGUGGUGGUGAGGCAAAUGGUAAAAGUCAAUGUUGGGCCUUGCUGGACAAGUUUUAUUCAAAGCGAACUGUCAGGGGGGUCCCAUAAAUCACCCAACCGCGUAAGGAACGCAAAAUCCGGGAACAUAACACCGAUAUGACGGAAACUAGGGCGGCAAGAGUGGAACGAAACACCAGGCAUAAGGCCGAGCCUUCCACCCUUUACCAAGUAUAUAGAUGCAUUAAUAAUAUAAGAGAUAUUGUGAUAUCCCAACCAAAAUCCUGUCCACCAUGGAGAAAUCUUCAACUUCACCUGCAACUAGCAACGCUAUAAGAGGGGCUGAGCAAAGUGGUAACAUAGCCAAACAACGGUUUGCUAGGAAUGGUGUCAAAGGUUAGAGGUUCAUGGCAAUAUGGGAUGGCUGACAAGCAAAUGAUAGGCAUCGUAGCAUUGGCAUAGCAAAAGAGCGAGCAAACUAGCAUAGCAAAGAUAGUAGUGAUUUCGAGGGUAUGGUCAUCUUGCCUGAAAUCCCGCAAGGAAGAAGAACGAGUCCAUGAAGAAGACAAACGUACAUCAAACGAAUCCUCACAACUCCGGAACGAAACCGAAGCUAACGAGAGAAGCAAACCGGAAAGAAACAAACAACAUGGUAAACACACAAGCAUAAACAUGUCAUGAUGCGCAAACAAAUAUGAUGCAUGUCCGGUUUAAUGAAGCAUGACAUGGCAAUAUGCACAAACAACACUACAAAUUAAGUGGAGCUCAAUAUGCAACGAGUUGCAUAUUGAUGACACACCACAUCAAUUAUUUAGUUCCCUCUAGUUAUAAGCUACUCAACAACAUUAAAUAUUGGUUAACAUGGCAAGUGAUGAAGCAUAACAAAAACUAUACCAUCUAAACAAUUUUAAAUGGGGCCGGAUAUAAAAACAACAAAUCCGGUAAAUCCCCAUAUGCAUUUAGCAAUUUAAUGCAACAACAAGUUUAAUCAUUUUAAAUGUUGUUAUCAUGAUGCGGAUGACAUAAUCAAGGUUUAUGCAAUUUUUAUGAAAAUGUUGACAUGAGCAUGAAACGAGGCAUUAGUCGCCAUGGCGGAAGGAAAAAGGUGCCACGGCGGUGAAACGGAAAUGGUGCCACGGCAACAUAUCCGAAAAUGAUGCCACGACAACAUAUCCGAAAAUGAUGCCACGGCAACAUAUCCGAAAAUGAUGCCACGGCAACAUAUCCGAAAAUGAUGCCACGGCAACAUAUAGGUUAUCCGACAACUCAAGGAGAUAUCGGUGCAAAAGGAAGGUGUGCGGAUGCGUGCACGGAUGGUGGGGUGAUCUCGGAUUCCGGGUGUCCCACAUAAUGGUGGCAUGGAAACGAGUGACAAUUCGAACACGGUGCAAACGGUGCAUCUCAUUCAACACAUGCAUUCGGGCCACGGCGGUCGUCUCGGGGUUAUACCUUUGAAGAGUGCGUUUUCGGAGCGGAACGAGUUCGAUGCAGUGUAGGUGGAAGUAGUGGUACACGGCGUCGGUAGAGGAAGUAGUCGUUCUCGGGUCGUCGUGGGAAGUAGUCGAACACGGCGUAGUGGAAGUCGUUGUUCACGUGGCGACGGUAGUUGUACACGGUCCAGGAGACGUCGAUCGUUCAGGGUCCGACUUGCGAGUCUUGCUGACAUGAGUGGUACUUGGCGAUGUUUCGAUGAGGCUCAAACGAAGCACCCGCAACUAGAGGCAACUAGUGCCCCGGUGCCCUGGACGACGACUGCAGGCGCGGAGAAGGGGAGCAGCAGAGGGACUAGGCGUGGGGAUGAACGGAUCCGGCUGAAGGCAUGGCCGACGGCGCGGCUUGGAGCAGAUCGGGCGCGGGCGCUUGGGGCGCGGCGCAGCUGGAUGGCGCGGGCGACAGAGGAGGAGAACACAGGUGGAGCCACUGGAGUUGGACAAGGAGGAAGCGGGAUGGCGCGGCAGCGGCCUGGUUCUGCGGGGGCUGGCGGCGGAUGCAGGCCACGAGGAGGAGGCGAAAGGGACGAUGAGGAGAAGCAGGAGGAGAUGGGAUCGAGAGAGAGGUCGGGCAGCGGUUCCCUGGCGGCGCUGGGUGGAAGGGAACGAGAGGGAGAGGGGGUGGAUCGGGACGAAGGGGUGGCGGCGCUGCACGGGGGGAGAUGGGGAUCGAUG